CAGCCGCCGCGGUAAUACGUAGGGUGCAAGCGUUAAUCGGAAUUACUGGGCGUAAAGCGUGCGCAGGCGGUUAUAUAAGACAGAUGUGAAAUCCCCGGGCUCAACCUGGGAACUGCAUUUGUGACUGUAUAGCUAGAGUACGGCAGAGGGGGAUGGAAUUCCGCGUGUAGCAGUGAAAUGCGUAGAUAUGCGGAGGAACACCGAUGGCGAAGGCAAUCCCCUGGGCCUGUACUGACGCUCAUGCACGAAAGCGUGGGGAGCAAACAGGAUUAGAGACCCCCGUAGUCCCUGUCUCUUAUAA
Molecule: ribosomal RNA, 301 nt
Filed under: uncultured bacterium
Lineage: Bacteria
Description: partial 16S ribosomal RNA
Rfam family: Bacterial small subunit ribosomal RNA
Source: RNAcentral